This 704-nucleotide ribosomal RNA is filed under the name uncultured Wolbachia sp. RNAcentral's name for it is "bacterial SSU rRNA". It matches the Rfam family "Bacterial small subunit ribosomal RNA", at positions 95 to 835 of the family's 1533-position model. The record is from RNAcentral. Lineage: Bacteria; Pseudomonadati; Pseudomonadota; Alphaproteobacteria; Rickettsiales; Anaplasmataceae.
GUGGCAGACGGGUGAGUAAUGUAUAGGAAUCUGCCUAGUAGUACGGAAUAAUUGUUGGAAACGGCAACUAAUACCGUAUACGCCCUACGGGGGAAAAAUUUAUUGCUAUUAGAUGAGCCUAUAUUAGAUUAGUUAGUUGGUGAGGUAAAGGCUUACCAAGACAAUGAUCUAUAGCUGAUCUGAGAGGAUGAUCAGCCACACUGGAACUGAGAUACGGUCCAGACUCCUACGGGAGGCAGCAGUGGGGAAUAUUGGACAAUGGGCGAAAGCCUGAUCCAGCCAUGCCGCAUGAGUGAAGAAGGCCUUCGGGUUGUAAAGCUCUUUUAGUGAGGAAGAUAAUGACGGUACUCACAGAAGAAGUCCUGGCUAACUCCGUGCCAGCAGCCGCGGUAAUACGGAGAGGGCUAGCGUUAUUCGGAAUCAUUGGGCGUAAAGGGCGCGUAGGCGGGUUAGUAAGUUAAAAGUGAAAUCCCAAGGCUCAACCUUGGAACUGCUUUUAAAACUGCUAGUCUAGAGAUUGAAAGAGGAUAGAGGAAUUCCUAGUGUAGAGGUGAAAUUCGUAAAUAUUAGGAGGAACACCAGUGGCGAAGGCGUCUAUCUGGUUCAAAUCUGACGCUGAGGCGCGAAGGCGUGGGGAGCAAACAGGAUUAGAUACCCUGGUAGUCCCGCUGUAAACGAUGAGUGUUAAUAUGGAAGUUUACUUU